GUAUUCUUUUUUGCCUAUUAGCUUUUUCCAAUUCAUUCUUCAUUUCUGUCUUAUUAAUAGUGUCAUUUUCGGAAUCCAUAUCUAGUUGUCUUUUAGUGGAUAUUGGAACUUAUAGUGUACACACACACACGCUCAUCUUUUUCUGUGUUUUACACCCUGCUUUAUUGUUUCACUUGAUGGUGUUGUGGCAAUUUUGUGAAAUAUAUGACAGAUGGUACUGAAUACGAUUUUCUUCAGAUCAUUUACAGGAGACUGAUCUCUUUUUUCCCCCCUGCUCUUCUAGAAUGACAACAUUGUUGACUUGCAUUCUUUGGUUGAGAAUGGAUAUAAAUGUCUUUCAUAAUAUCAUAACUAAUUUGAUGAGUACUUCUGUCACUGUUAGUGGAGAGGAUGGAAGAAGUCGAGCAGAGCAGCUCUUGCAUAUUUUGAGACAACUUGAUCCCUAUGUUUCCUCGGCAGUGGAAUAUCAGAGGGAAAGAGGAUGUCGUGCUGCUCAUGAGAUGCUUCACAAGUUUCGGACACUAUGUAUUAGUGGAUAUUGUGCAUUUGGCUGCCGAGGAAGUUGCACACAUGGCAAGCAUGUUGAUCCUGUUGUACACCGGAAUUAUUCUAAUUUACCAUGUAAGACUGUAUCCAUGUGCCUUUUCUUCCUCUGUAUAUGUGUUGUUUAGUACUGUUAUGACCAGUUUUAUUGGUUGCCUUUCUACCAUCAGCUGCUUUUGUGCUGCCAAGUCGUGAUGCACUGUCUUUAGGGGAGAGAAUCAUGGUUUAUCUUCCUCGUUGUGCGGAUACAAUUCCUGAAGUUAGAAAGCUUUCUGCACAGGUCAGUAGUGUGAUAGAGUUUUAUAUUGUUUGAGUUAGCUUGAUGUUUCCAGUUUAUGAUUGCUGAACUUAAAGAUUGGUUUGUACGUAUGAGUAUGCCAUAAUUGUUGCAUCAGUCCCUUCCUUCUCUUCCUUCAUCUUCUCUCUGCAUUUGCUUAUCCUCUUUUUACUUUCUUCUGAUUUUUGUCUUAUUUUUUCCUACCUGUAGAUUCUUGAUCUGUUUUUCAGUAUAUCUCUGUCUCUGCCGAGGCCUGUGAAUUCCAAUUUGGGGUUGGAUUUAGAACUGUCUUAUAGUGCUUUGACGUCACUUGAGGAUGUUAUAGCUAUCCUAAGAAGUGUAAGUCUGUUUACUAUCCUCUCUAUUAAAUUUCCAUUUUUAUUAUUAAAACAUGUUAUUUAUUUUAAUUCCUUUUGAUUUAUUGAUGAAGUAAUUCCUUUUUAUUUUCUUGUCAAAUAUAUAUUUGUACUUCAGGAUGCUUCUAUUGAUCCUUCGGAAGUAUUCAACCGGGUUGUUUGCUCUGUUAGCAUCUUGUUGACUAAAGAUGAGGUAAUAGUCUUAUGCAAGAUUUUGGUUGUGUUCUCUAUACACUAAUCUUUUUGAUAAUUCUGGUGGAUUUGUAUUGAAUUGGAUGAAGAAUUUAUCAAGCCUCCAAGCAACACCUAACAAAAUUUUACAGCUUGCUGCUGCCUUGCAUGGUUGCUCGACAGCCAUAUGUGACAAGGUGAAGCAAUCUGCAGAGAGUGGAAUCCAAGCUGUAGUUGAGUUUAUCACCAAGAGGGGGAAUGAGUUGAAUGAGACUGAUAUCUCAAGGUCCUUCCAACAUGAAUUACUUGUAGUUUUAGAUGAUUUCCGACAAUAGUUUUUGCCAACAAUUAAUAAAUUAAUGAAUUUGACUUAGAGACAUGUCUGUGAACAGGACAACACAAUCUUUGCUCUCAGCUACAGUGCAUGUGUCCGAGAAGUAUCUGCGCGAGGAAACUCUUUGUGCUGUAUCCCUUUAUACUAACUUUUGUCGGCAGUUGGGAGUGGGAAAUUUUGAUAAUCUACAUUUAUUGAAAUAUCAUUUUGCCUGUCAUUUUGAGGACAACUGUUUAGCAAAUGAUACCUCAUUUGCAACCUUGAUGCAACAGGAUUGUCUUUGAGAUUUUGAACUUUAUGGGAAGAUGUUUAACUCAGAAGAAUAACAGAAACCCAUUCGUAGGAGUCGCUUGAAGGAUCUCUUAGGAAGUGCACCUAAAUUUGAUAAAAUUGCCCCCUACACAAACACUUAGGGUUGAUGGAUUUUGAUUUCUUUCCAUUUGUGGGAGAAUCAUGUCUACAACUUGAUGUCACCCUGCUUCAAGGAUUUUAGAGUUCAUUAGUCCCUCAUUUUGACCUUAUUGGAGAAGGUUUUUCUAGUGUCAAAAGCCAAAUCAGUUCUAGCUGUUCUAGUUGGAAUUGAUUGGUUGGUGGAGCCUGAAUACUUUUAAGUGAUGAAGGGCUGUAGUACUUGGAUUGGGUUUGGGCCAUGUAGAUUGGGGUAUUGGAUUAGGAUCAGGCUAGUGGGGACCCAGGAUAUUAAGAGGUGAUGGCAGGUGAGAAAGGCCUGUUAAGAUGUAUAUCUGGGGAGGAUACUUUAUAUGUUUUACGCAAUAAAAAGUUUAUUUGUAGAUGGAUACAAUAAACUUGUAAAUUUUAUAAGAAGACAUUGCAUUUUUCAGAGUCUCAGGUGUUGGGUUUCUGUUCUGGCUUAUUCCCAGUGGCCUUCUCUAUAAAAUUCUAUAUCAUGUAUGGCAACCUUUAUCUUUAUGGCUCUGUGUUGGAGUAUCAUCCUCUAUUUGCAAUUAUGCUUGUGUGUGCAUUUUUCCAAUAACUUUUUAAAGAUCUCGGCUCUUGCUGAGAACACCAGCUCAGGCAUUGUGUUCAAUGAAGUAUUAGCAGCUGCAGGAAGGGAUAUAACCACCAAAGAUGUAUCCAGACUACGUGGUGGCUGGCCAGUACAGGAUGCAUUUUAUGUACGUUGUUCGUUGCACAUGAUAUUCAUUGUGAUAGUUAUGGCUCUAACAUCAUGUCUAUUUGAUUUAUGCAUAUGUGAUUAUGAAUGUAUUUGCUUGUUGUAUGUGUUUGUACAUUGUCUUGUGUGGAUGUUUUAGUUAUUUGGAGAUAUAGUAUGUAAAUGUAUUCAUUUGUGUAGGGGUGUGCGUGUGCGUGAGAGAGAGACAGAGAGCACUUUGAGCUUCAAAUGCAAUUGGUUAAUGUCUCUUUUAUUCAGUAUCAGAUGGAAAGAUAUCUUGAGAUUUAAACUCAUGAUAAUGAAUAAUCCUAUGUCUACAUGAUUUUACUUGUCUUUGCUGUUCUUUUCUCUGUUCUUUUAGCAGGGUUAUUUUCUCCUAGUACUAAUACCUAAAUAAUUACAAGUUUUUAUUUGCCAAUAGGCAUUUUCCCAGCAUGUUGUACUGUCAUAUACAUUCCUGGAGCAUGUGAUAGCUAUUGUGAAUCAGACCCCUCUUCUUAAAGGUGAUCUGGGUAGAGGAGAAACUCCCAGUCAUUCUGGUGAUAAUCAGCUGGAGGAUGUUUUACAGGCAGCUGUUGUCGCUCUGACGGCGUUCUUCAGGUCUAUAUCCAUUACAUUAUUCAACCUUUCUAUUUUAUAUUGCAGCUCUUUCACAUCUCAGUCCAUGUAAAUGCCAGAGGAGGUGGUAAAAUUGGAAGGAAGGCUGUUGAGCAGAAUUAUGCUUCAGUCCUUGCGACUCUGGUGCUCCAUUUUGGAAGUUGCCAUGGCUUAGCCAGUUUUGGUCAACAUGAACCACUGCAGUAUGUGUUAAUUGACUUCCACGUUCAUGGACAUUUUGAAUCUCAUGAGUUUAUAUUGAUAACCUUCUUUCUUUUAUUAUGUUCCAGUUCAAUGCUGAUAGCGUUUCAUGCAUUCUGUGAUUGUGUUGGUGAUCUGGAGAUGGGCAAGGUACUGUAGGUUUGGCUAGAAGUGGUAAUGUUCAUUCAUUUUUAACAUUUCCUUUUUGACCAUUUAGCUAAAAAGCAGCAAAUGUAUAUGCAGAUUCUUACUAGGGAUGGAAAACAUACUGAAAACGAGAAGUGGAUAAAUGUCGUUGGAGAUCUUGCUUGCUGCAUUUCCAUAAAAAGACCAAAAGAGGUUGAAUUAUUUACUGAAUUUGCCUCUCUCUCUCUCUCUCUCUUGGCAUUCAAAAACUACAAUUGCAGAGAUAUCUUCAAACAGUCAUGCACUUACUUGUCACUUCUUCUCUUGCAUUAUAAAAAUUGCAUACACUAUGAGCCAUCACUACAAACUUCAAACACCCCCACCACCUGAAAAAUGAUCCCAAAGGAAGAAAAACGGAAUAUAGUAAAGGAGAAUACUAACUGAUGGGAAAGAACAAAGAGCGUCUCUGUGCUUUUUAAAGGGUGAGUAGUGUGCUAACUGUUAUUAGUUUGCUGUUACACCCAGGUAAAUGUUUGCAGUUGUCUGGAGGAUUGAUCUGAAUGUCAAUUCCUGAAUCCCAGAUUUAAUUUAUGCUGAGUUUGUAUAGUCCUUUUGUCAUAUUUUUCCAUACUUAGAAGUGUUCUGUGACAAAAUGAUGCAAAUUGUGACUUGUCGACAAGUUUGACGUUGUUAUUUGUUUCCAGUCAAUAAGUGAUAGAAACAUGGGACAUCCAAAUUCUUUGUAGAAAAUGCAUCAUGAUGUCUAGUGAUCACCCAGUAGCUGUGGUAUAGAGUUGUGAAUGUAUUUUAAUUUGUAUGCUUAUGGAAUUCCUUGAAUCUGCCUGAUUCAUGUUGCUUAAAUGUCCCCCAUAUUCAGUCCAGGAAAUAUCACCAUCUGAUAUUUAGCGACUGAAAUUAUGAGAAUUUUUUUUGCACACCGAUUUUUUGGGCUAGAAAUUUCUUUAACUCUUCUAUCAAUUCGUCAGAGUUUCCAACGACAAUAUGGUUCUAAAGUCCGCUAGAACUGAAUGCAUAAGCAUUGCUAAGAUAGAAUGGUUCCAAAUGGAGUGUCUUACUUUCACUCGGCAUGGUGUUUCUGGGUGCCAAUUGAAAUAUAACCUGUGUUAUACAGAGUGGGAACUUGAUGGGCUGUAGUCUCCACAUGAGCUCGUGUAUAUUUGAGUACUAUAAUUUUUCUUUGACUAAAUCAUUUACAAAAGGCAAGUAUGACAAUAUUUUGGUAUUUGAGAAAAAUAUAAAAUGGAUGCAUACAUUAUGGAAUGAUUGCAUGUACAUGUUUAAAUCUGUAUAUGUUUGCUCUUGGAAAUCAAACAUACCAAAGAGAAGCCAAAAUGGUGACAUGAUGGUGGUCUUUCCCUCUCAAUGUUUUAAAAGAAGGGCAUUGAGUAUUGAGCAUAUAUUGGACCUACUAUUGUUAAAGUUAUUCUGUAGGUAUUGUAAUAUUUGUCAACUUAUGCUUGAGCUUGCAUCUAUCCGUUGGGUACUGCAAUCUUUUAAGGUUUUAAGUGCUUUGAGUAUACGAUCUCCAACUUGCAAGUUUUUGGUGUAGCAAUUAUCAAUUGUUGUUACAGAACUCCUAACUUUUCCAUACGAAUAUCUUACUCAGAUACCAUCAAUAUGUUUGAUUGUGAGCAAAUCUCUAGAAAGAUUUGAAAGAUUUCACAGGGAAGCAGCCGCUGCAGCAUUGUCAGAGUUUUUGCGGUAUAGGUAUGGCUGGUAAUUAUUAUUGGUCUCAGUGUGUGUAUUUUUUCGUUUUUUUUUUUGUUUGGAGGGAGGGGGGGGGCUUUCUGUGGGGCAUAUUUGUUAUGCUCACUUGGCUAGUUGCAAAUUUUAUUUUCUUUUUUUGGUUGGAAUUGGGCUGCUGAAUCAUUCAGAGAGCUGAAAAUGGUGAAAAAUGAUAUCAAGUUACCACAGUUUUUGAAAUUAUCAGGCCGAUUUUCAUAUUGGCUUGUAGCUCUUAAUCCUAGAUCCUACAUUGUUCUUCAAAUAUUUUUAGCUUGGAAUUUCUGAUUUCUGCAGUGAUGGCUUUGGUUCUCUAUUAGAGCAGAUGGUCGAAUUAUUAUCGCGGCAUGUAUCAGAUGAUUCUCCAACUGUUAGGCGCCUCUGUUUAAGAGGGCUUGUUCAGGUAAUAUUAUCUUCUUUUGUUUUGUUUUUUUUUUCCUUUUUAACUUUUUCUUGAAUUCUGAUUGCUUUCAUAAACAUUCAAUAGAAAAUCAGCUGCAAAAUGAACAAGUUUUUGCAAAAUCUACUUUUAUAAGUUGCCGUGGGACCAACUGAUUCUUUAGCAGUGCAUUUUACUGUUGCAUAUGUGGUUUAGAAGUAUGCUCAUUCUUGUGCGCUGUUUUUUGUCUAACCAGUUACUUUUACGACUUCAAUUUUGAUGUUAUAAUGCCCCUUGGCCUUGCAGAUGCCAUCUAUCCACAUACUUCAAUACACCACUCAAAUUCUGGGGGUAAUAUUGGCUUUACUAGAUGACCCGGAGGAAUCUGUUCAAUUAACUGCAGUGUCAUGCUUGCUAAUGGUGAUCUCCUCCGCCUUCUUAGUCUAUCUUUGACCGCUGUUACUGCUUCAUGCAUUUACUCUAUCAAUGCUUCCCCUUACUAGGUCCUUGAGUCAUCUUCUAAAGAUGCUGUGGAGCCCAUUCUUCUCAACCUUUCAGUUCGACUCCGUAAUCUUCAAGUAAGUUUUGAUUCUUGGAAUAUUAUUUCUCAUUUCUGUAGUCUACUUUCCGUGACUGACAGCAGGAUUCCAUUUAAAUUUGGAUUCAUGAUGUUUCGAAAAAACAUGAGAGUAGAAAGUUAGCAAGAUGAUGAUGCUCGGAUUUGUUAGUUUAUUGCUUAUGGCUGUGACUUAGAGAAAAAUAGUGGGUAGACUGAAAGCUAUCUUAAUUGUUGAUUCUCUGUGUUGGUGACAGAUAUGCAUGAACACAAACAUCCGUAGAAACGCAUUUGUUGCUUUUGGAGCCCUAAGUGGCUAUGCAGUUGGGUCACAUCAUGAGGCAUUUCUUGAACAGGUUGUUUCCUGACUCAAUGCACAAAUUGUUUGUUACAUAUUUGUAGUUAAAGGGAAUUAAAGCAUUUUUUCUGAGUUGAGUUUUACUAUGGUUCAACUUUUAAAGUAUAAUGGUCUGUCCUUCCUUAAAACUUGUUUGUCAUCGUAACUCAAGCUAUCAACUAUGCAUGUUUCUGACAUGGUACUUUUUUCCCCCACUAAAUUCUUGCUUUGCCAUCAAUUUACGGAAGAAUUUAUAUUUUCUUCGUACUGGAUAUUGAAAUAUCUUCUCAGGUACACGCUGUCUUCCCGCGUUUGGUUUUGCAUCUUCAUGAUGACGAUCUAGGUGUCAGACAGGCCUGCCGGGUAGAUAAAUAGUCAUCAACUCAGUGUAGUUUUCUUGGCUUGGAUAUUCUAAAAUCUUGAGCUUGUUUUUUCUUUUUCCAGACCACAUUCAGGUCUAUUGCUCCUCUAAUGGAAAUUGAGGGAGUUGUUGCCCUUUCCAAUACAAAUUGGUUUGGUUCUGAUCACAGGUACUUUUGCAUCAAUAAAAGAAGGAUGUUUCCUUUAAUAAUUGUUGAUUGAUGCCGGAUAUUAGACUGUAUUAGGAUAUUUUUGUGUUUGCAGAAGUGACUACGAAGACUUUUUGAGAGAUCUUGCCAAACAACUUAGUCAACAUUUGGAUUCACGUAUAGAUAGUUAUAUGGUAUCAAUAAUACAGGUUUGGAUAUUCCUUUGCUCAACAUGUUAAUUGAGUUUGGCAUUUUUGCUUGAACGUCUCUUAACCCACUCUGGAAAAAUUUCUCCUGUUAUGUGAGCACAGGUUCAUGGAUUUUCACUACUUGAUUAGGUCAUUAGACUGUUCAGAUUUCAUUUGAGUGCUAUAAUUGUGUCCUUUAUUGUUUACUUGUCCAAGGACAAACUUGUAGGAGGUUUUACAAUUAUCCUAGUGCUUGAAGAAGAUGUUAAGCGGACUCUUUUUUUUUUCUUUCAUAACUUUAGAUGUACUCUAUUUUACCUCAAAUUCUACUUGAUACUGAUCAGUAUAUUAAAAAGCUUUUUAAAUUUGGGGUAUUAACAUACAAUAAGACUGGAACAGAUGAUUUGAUCCAACCAUGUCCUAGACUUUGAUGGUGUGGUAUACAUUUCAAUAUCCUUGUAUGCAUAGGCUGUUUUCUGGACUGAACACAUUUCCAUUCAGCUUGAAUGGGCACUUAAUACGCAUUCUCAGACUAUAUUCUACACGUAUGAAAUAAGGAAGGCUUGAGAAAAAAGGGCUCGGCAUUAGAGUAUAAUUUGUACUUCUAAAAUUUGAAUGACUGAGUGAUGUUGAGUAAGAUUUGUUUAAUUAGCUUUAAUUUGUGCAGAGAUUAUUGACCAAAAUUAUCAAAUGCUGUGAUAUAUUCAAUAAAAUUGCAGAAAUCCUAUUAUAUUUUGGUUUGAAUUUUAAAAAAGCUAAAAAUAAUUUAGUAUUUAACAGAUGAAAGAGCUCAAAAUUUGAGCUGUUAUUCUUCUCAAAUUGAUGUGAACUCAAGCUCAAACAACUAAUUUCUGUUAUGAGCUGUGCUGAAGAGGAUUUUGACUCAAAAAAUGUUGUGAGCCGAAUUCAAGCUCAUGUUGAGUGAUAAUAUUCGAGGUGUUCAAGGUAUAUCAGGCGGAUGAGGUGCUCGUCUGAUCGGAUCAUUCGAAAAUUCAUUAAUAGUGUAAACUAUUGUUUUUCAUCUUUUAAAGCAUAUUGGAUAAGACGUGCUUAAACUUGACUUUUGAAAAUCAUUUGGUGUCUUGAACUUGUGAUGCAUAACUAAGGCUAACGGUGUACUGGACAGGCAAUGGAUUCUAGAAAUGCACCAUGUAUUAAAGAACUAAUUCACAGGGUUCAAUAAGCAAUCAAUAUUUCAUGUAAUGGUUACACUAUAGAUGUCAUUGAAGCUCAUGAGGUUCUGGAUAUGCAGGCUUUUGAUGCUCCAUGGCCUGUGGUCCAGGCGAAUGCUGUCUAUCUGUGUAGCAGCAUGCUUGCUCUCUCUGAGGAUCAAUGUAUAUCACCUCUCUAUUGUAACCAGGUAACUUCCAAUUUCCAAAUGACAAAUGUGCUAUUAUCUAAGACUUAUGGAAUCUGCAUGCUAAAAUUUGACUGGGCUUGUCUUCUCUUAGGUGCUUGGAAUGUUGAUCAGCAAGAUGAGUCGGUCAGCAGAUGCAAUUGUUAGAGCGACUUGCUCUUCGGCCUUGAGUUUGUUACUCAAAUCAGUUAACUUAGCCUCUUGGAAAGCCGUUCGGCUUGAAUGAGUGAUCUUGCCGAAAUCUGCUUGGUUUGUUUGAGUUGACUUGAUUCAGCAGAGCCACGAAACAGAGGACGUUAUGAUGUACAUGAUAGAAUAGGAAACUGUAAGUUGGUCAUAUGCUUCAGAUAAAGUAGGCUCAUUUUUAAAUGUAUUUGGAGAUCCCGCUUCACUUUGAUAGGUACAGCUGCUGUGUUGCAUUAGGGUUGAGGCACUGUUUUUUAAACACUUUCUGUGUUUACUGCUUGUAAUAUUGUAUCCAACAAAAAUGGAACAGAAAUCGAGAUGUCAUCUGUACAUUCCAUUACAAACAAACUUUAGCUAAGUUUGUAGUUUGCCCUUGCCAUACUAUGCUAGUAUUUCCUACUGCCAAUUUUAUAUGAUACGGAAUACUUUGGCUUCAUAACCCCUCGUUCGAAAUUGCUCAACAUUCACGAUCAUGAUUAACAUGGAUCUGUGGUUGUCCUGCGGGAGCACGAGGCUGUUGACUGAGUGAGUUUGUGCAUUUUGAUAUUUCAGAAGCCUUGAUUCUCGCAUUGAAACUUGUUAUUCAUUAUUUUUUUGCACAUAAGAUGUAUUUGGGUGGAGCUAUAAUCAAGUUGAGUUUUUGACUUUCAAGCUCGGUUCAUUAAAUUAUCGAGCGAGUUUGAGCUCAGCUCAGCUCAUCUAUUUAACAAGUUAGAAAUUGUGUUCGAGUUCGGUUAGUUAAAAUUAUCUUGAAUUCGAAUUCAAGUUCGAACUUAAGUCGUAUGGCAUGCAUGAAAAAGCUCAAAUAUGCUUAAAAGUCUUAUAGAAUUUUGCAAUUCAAAAAAUUUAAUCAACUUAAUGAGCCUAUUGAGCAAGAAAAUUUUCAUCGAAUAGAAGAAGAUUCCGAAUAUUUAAGCAAAACAAAAUCCUAGAUGGUCAAGGCAAGUUAUUAAGAAAAUUAGUAAUAGUAACUUGAACAAAUGUAAAAACGAAUUAUUUGUGAAUUGAGGUGAGCUUGGCUCAUUUAAAACGGGCUUAAUUUGAUGUUUGAUUUUUGGCUCAUUCAGUUAAAUAAACAGGUUGAAUUCGAGCUUAUAUGAGCCGAGUAAAGUUGAACCCAAGAAUAGCUCAGUUUGUUUAACAAUUAUUUUUUUAGUUCCGAGGCAAAAAAAUUUGGAUGGACCAAAUGGAGGCACUCGAGGCACUCUCAAUCCCUCCCCCUACAUCCAAGGAGGAGGGACUAACCUCCUGGAGGCUAGAACCCAGCGGUUAGAAUAUGGUUCCCUAUCUUCUAUGGAAUUCACAUAUUAUGUAAUAAUGUAUUUAUCGUGCAAUGUGUUUGAAAAAAGCAACUCCAUCUAUAAAAUCAUGCUAGACCCCUAUUACGUCAGCUGUUGGUCUGGCUUAGCUCUGCUCAUACUGUGCGAGACGGGAAUUCCCUGCUCUUAUUAUUGAUCAAGUUUUUCCAAUCAGUGGUUUCAAAAAACAGGGAAAAAAAAAAGACAAAGUUUGUCCAAUCCGUGUGACAAAUUAUCUGAUUCACUUCUUUGUUCGCAAACUUAAAACUCGGUCUUUUGCCCUCGCCGACUUUCUGAUUUAUUUCAUGAUAAUUAUAGAGACAUCUCGACAAGGAAAAUGAUUGAACUACAUAAGACAAACUCAAAACUCGCACUGGACAAUGCAUGAGAUAGAAUACGGUGGAUUGUCCAUCUUAUAAUGCAAGGUGAGGAUAAGCUCAUGCUGGCCAUGCACGAACGCGGCCGUGGUGGAAUUCGGAGGAUCUCAUCUGUGGCUGCUGUGCUGACUUCCCAUCCAUUUGUUUCUGGCCUUUUGCAGCUACAUCGCAAAUAUACAUACCUAAUUAAAUUAAAAAAGUGUCCUGACACUGACUUUAAAUUUUUUUUCACUGCCCUUUGUUGCUGGUUUUGGCUCAGCGGUUUCCUCGCGCGAAAGUCGACAGUAAAAGCAGCCAAAUGGCUGUCAGUCUUCUGGGCUUGAGGGGAGCACAUGGUUGACGGAAACGGGGGUAGGAGCGGUCAUUCUCACGAGCUGUUAAUGGCCAUGAUUUGGCCUCAACAAAUUGUACGGUCCAAAUCAUAAGUUGUGCAUCGAUUUUCACACCGCGUGUGGGACUCAUAAAUUUUUGUACUAAAAUUACACGUUGUGCAAAUAAAGUUACGCCGUGUGCAACCAAAGUUACGCGCUGUUGAAAAUGGUCAAAACCGUUUAAUUAGUUACAUUUUAGCUCAAGUGGUACCCGGCAUUCCAACUCAAAGACCUUAAAGGUCAAAGGGUUCGAGUCCUGGGGAGACCCCCUCCAAACACCACCAGGGAAUCCAGGCUCCCCUGCUCCCCAAGACGGUGGCGAGACGGACAAAUACACAAUUGGCCUCCACAAAAAGGCUGUAAAGUUCCAUAUCCUUCACUUUGCGUCUGUUUUCUAAUUUCUAAUUUAGUGUCCAAAGAAAUUACCUAAAGUCUCUCUCUCUCUCUCUAUAUAUUUUUAAUAAUGUUACGUAAAGGUAAUAACGUAAGCAUCAUUUUAGAGUAGCAAUUUGUGGUCGAACAAUUUAAUCCGAUACAGAAACACCUCUGAGGUCUGGUCCUUAAUGAAAGUUCCUUUCUCUUGGAUUUGUUAAUUGACAAUUCGAGAAGACGACAAAUGAUCAGAGUGUUUCUGGAAGCAACGGAAGAUUGAUCCGAAAAGUAUGAAUCACGCGAGCAAUGAUGAGCAGAUUCGUGUAUGUAUCAACCAUUUGAAAUUUAUAUUCAACUAUAGACAACAAGCAUCACGACACACGAAGACAAAUCCUAUGGCAGCAUAAUUGGACUGGACGAUUAUUAUUAUUAUCAAACCCCAAAAAAAAAAAAAAACAGAAAGAAAGAAGAAGUCUGGACGACCGGUUCUUAUCCCCUGCCGUGAUCAGUAAUGGCAAAUAUAUCCACAAUUUUCCGCAUCAUCAACCUGGAAUUUCCUUCUCCAUACCUUAUGUUUUUCUUUUUUUUUUUUGGUUUGGGUAAUCUGUAAGGUUUCCUUCUACACACUUGAUACGACGACCGAAGUUGAGACACAAUCAUAGCGGAGAUUUGGUCGAAGCAAAGAAACAAAUCAACAGAAAAUUACGUAGAACCUAGAAACUACCACACCUGUCAAUCAGUUUCUUCUGUCACAAUUCACGACGUGGAUACAAAUCCUUUAGGCUUCUUCGUAGGGGCAAGGGUGGGCCUGUAACCUUGCCUAGUCCCUUACAACACCGGCCCGGCUGAAUGAAUUUGAGAAGACCGCAAGAACUCUUAUCAAAAAACAGUACAGGAGUGAACAUUUUGGCCAUAUCUGUCUAGCUACUGCGCAGAUGCAACCGUAAUAGACUUGUCGAAUUCAUCACCGGCAAUUGUUGACUUUCUUGCCCGGCGCUUAUCACCACCAUCAACUUUCUUGAUAACCGGAAUCUAUGCCAAUUCCGCAUUUCCGACUUCACCCCACCGAAUUUUCUUGCCAUUGAUCCACGGUCGAUGCAUGUGUAACACAUUCGCUGGCCUUUCUCGUUGCAAAUUAACUAUGUCUACACGCCAAGUUGCCGAAAGCCUGAUGAUCAUGUUUAAUUAAUGGCACCAAAUGUGCAGGAUCUUCACUUUGUGCUGGUCCCUUUACUAGCGCAAGGCCACCUGAUCCCGAUGAUAGACAUGGCCAAGCUUUUCGCCGAACAUGGCGUUAGAGUAACCUUGGUUACUACUCCAAACAAUGCCCCCUCAUCAAAAAGAGCUAUUCAUCGGGCUCGGGAAUCAGGGCUCUCCAUUCAAGUGCUGGAAAUCCCGUUCCCCUCUACAGAAGUAGGGCUGCCACCAGGCUGCGAGAAUCUCGAUAGCGUGCCUUCCAGAGAUCUUCUAAGAAAAUUUUACACCGCACUGCAUAGUCUACAGCAGCCACUGGAACAGUAUCUCCAAGAACACAAGCAUCCUCCGAGCUGCAUAAUUUCAGAUAAGUGUAUGUCCUGGACGUCCCAAACAGCUCGAAAAUUCCAGGUUCCAAGAAUAAUUUUCCACGGAAUGUGCUGCUUCUCUCUAUUGAGUGCCCAUAACAUCAAGCUCUACAGGUCUCACCUUUCCGUUAGGUCCGCUGCUGAACCCUUUGUCAUCCCGGGAAUGCCAAUGCACGUCCAAAUCACGAAAGCCCAGUUACCAGGAUCAUUCGUUGCAUUGCCUGACCUGGAUGAUGUCCGGGACCAGAUGCGCGAUGCUGAAUUGAGCUCUUAUGGGGUGGUGGUUAAUACAUUUGCGGAAUUGGAGAAUUGUUGCGUGGAGGAAUACAGAAAGGCUACAGACAAAAAGGUUUGGUGCAUCGGACCUGUUUCGCUGUGUAACAAGCAUAAUUUGGACAAGUUUGAGAGAGGGAACAAAUCAUCCAUUGACGAAGAGCAAUGCUUAGAGUGGCUUGACUCAAGGAAGUCAGAGUCAGUUCUUUAUGCUUGCCUGGGCAGCCAGUGCCGGCUAGUUCCAGCCCAAUUGAUACAAAUCGGAUUGGGAUUGGAAGCAUCUAAUCAACCAUUCAUUUGGGUGAUUAAGACAGGAGAAAGAUUCUCCGAGUUGGAGCAAUGGUUAUUGGAUGAAAGGUACGAGGAGAGGAUCCGAGGGAGGGGAUUACUGAUUAAAGGUUGGGCGCCUCAGGUUCUUAUUCUGUCCCACCCUGCAAUCAAAGGAUUCUUGACACACUGUGGUUGGAACUCUACCAUAGAAGCCGUGUGCUCAGGUGUGCCAAUGAUAACAUGGCCUAUGUUUGCUGAACAAUUUCUCAACGAGAAAUUGGUUGUAGAAAUACUUAGGGUCGGUGUUCGAGUUGGCGUUGACGUGCCAGUAAGAUGGGGAGAAGAAGAGGAAGUUGGAGUACUAGUGACUAAAGAGCAAGUUGUAAAUGCUGUGGAAAGGCUAAUGCAUGAAGGAGAAGAAGGCAACGAUCGGAGAAUCAGAGCCAAAGGGCUUGGUUUGGCUGCAAAGAAGGCCAUGGAAGAUGUAGGGUCGACUAAUAUCAACGUAUCACUUCUGAUCCAAGAUAUUAUGGAGCAAUCCUUUAAGUUAGGAGAAGGGUAAAGAGCUGUAUUACUUGUUAGCAAUAAAACGUUUGCGAAAAACUCUCUUUGUUAUUUUCUUGUUAUAUUUCCUUUCUCAAGUUUAUAAAACAAGGUUACCAAUUUCGAACCCUCUGCGCUAUGAUUAAAGCAAGAAUAGGGAAAGGAAAAAAAACGAUGUUUUUGUUCAACUGAUGCUGAUUCUGCCAUAUCUUGAAUAACGAAUAUUUUUUAGCUGUCAAUUUUUGAAAAGAAGAAGCACUUAAAUCAAGGAUUCGAAUAAUUCUUUACUCUCCCAGAUGCAGACAUCAGAAUUAGGAAGCCAGAGCAACAUUGGCUAGUGCAUUUUAUUGUCAAUCCCGAGUUGUAAAACUCUUGCUAAGAAACUGCAGCCCGGUUCUAGAAUGGUGGGAGACUUGAUUCCAACCACAAUUUAGUUCGUUGGACCAUCUCUACCACUCUCUGCGU
RNAcentral lists this long non-coding RNA (14526 nucleotides) under Coffea arabica (coffee). Its description in RNAcentral is "long non-coding RNA (CARA_LNC004456)". Lineage: Eukaryota; Viridiplantae; Streptophyta; Magnoliopsida; Gentianales; Rubiaceae. The record is from RNAcentral.